RNAcentral lists this ribosomal RNA (439 nucleotides) under uncultured bacterium. RNAcentral's name for it is "partial 16S ribosomal RNA". It matches the Rfam family "Bacterial small subunit ribosomal RNA", at positions 339 to 795 of the family's 1533-position model. The record is from RNAcentral.
CUACGGGAGGCUGCAGUGAGGAAUAUUGCACAAUGGGGGGAACCCUGAUGCAGCAACGCCGCGUGGAGGAUGACGCAUUUCGGUGUGUAAACUCCUUUUAUAUGUCAAGAAAAUGACGGUAGCAUAUGAAUAAGCACCGGCUAACUCCGUGCCAGCAGCCGCGGUAAUACGGAGGGUGCAAGCGUUACUCGGAAUCACUGGGCGUAAAGGACGCGUAGGCGGGUUGGAAAGUCAGGUGUGAAACCCUACAGCUUAACUGUAGAACUGCACUUGAAACUUCUAAUCUAGAGUAUGGGAGGGGGAGAUGGAAUUAGUGGUGUAGGGGUAAAACCCGUAGAUAUCACUAGGAAUACCUAAAGCGAAGGCGAUCUCCUGGAACAUUACUGACGCUAAGGCGUGAAAGCGUGGGGAGCAAACAGGAUUAGAUACCCCAGUAGUC